RNAcentral lists this ribosomal RNA (440 nucleotides) under uncultured bacterium. Its description in RNAcentral is "partial 16S ribosomal RNA". It matches the Rfam family "Bacterial small subunit ribosomal RNA", at positions 338 to 795 of the family's 1533-position model. The record is from RNAcentral.
CCUACGGGUGGCAGCAGUGGGGGAUAUUGCACAAUGGGGGGAACCCUGAUGCAGCGACGCCGCGUGGGUGAAGAAGCGCCUCGGCGCGUAAAGCCCUGUCAGCAGGGAAGAAAAUGACGGUACCUGAAGAAGAAGCCCCGGCUAACUACGUGCCAGCAGCCGCGGUAAUACGGAGGGGGCAAGCGUUAUCCGGAUUUACUGGGGGUAAAGGGGGCGCAGACGGCGAUGCAAGCCAGGAGUGAAAGCCGGGGGCCCAACCCCGGGACUGCUCUUGGAACUGCGUGGCUGGAGUGCAGGAGGGGCAGGCGGAAUUCCUGGUGUAGCGGUGAAAUGCGUAGAUAUCAGGAGGAACACCGGUGGCGAAGGCAGCCUGCUGGACUGCAACUGACGUUGAGGCCCGAAAGCGUGGGGAGCAAACAGGAUUAGAUACCCUAGUAGUC